GACCAUGUGGCCUAAUGGACAAAGCGUCUGCCUUCGGAUCAGAAGAUUGAGGGUUCAAAUCCCUUCAUGGUUG
This is a non-coding RNA of Oryzias latipes (Japanese medaka), 73 nucleotides long. NCBI's taxonomy places the organism in Eukaryota, Metazoa, Chordata, Actinopteri, Beloniformes, Adrianichthyidae. The record is from Rfam.